This 253-nucleotide ribosomal RNA is filed under the name uncultured bacterium. RNAcentral describes it as "partial 16S ribosomal RNA". It matches the Rfam family "Bacterial small subunit ribosomal RNA", at positions 524 to 776 of the family's 1533-position model. The record is from RNAcentral.
UACGUAGGGGGCUAGCGUUGUCCGGAAUCAUUGGGCGUAAAGCGCGUGUAGGCGGUCCGGUAAGUCCGCUGUGAAAGUCGGGGGCUCAACCCUCGGAUGCCGGUGGAUACUGUCGGGCUUGAGUACGGAAGAGGCGAGUGGAAUUCCCGGUGUAGCGGUGAAAUGCGUAGAUAUCGAGAGGAACACCUGCGGCGAAGGCGGGUUGCUGGGCUGAUACUGACGCUGAGGCGCGAAAGCCAGGGGAGCGAACGGG